CCUCUCUUUCUCUCCUCUCUAAAGUAACUAAAUGAAUCUUUUAAAAAUACACCCAACUUAUUAGACUUGUUCAUUUCUUCUUCUGACUAUUCUGUACACUUUUGGAUCUUUGUAUAUAAAGUUUUGCUGUAGAUGCACAUAUAUUCAGGAUCAUUAUGAUGUGGUGAAUUGACAUUUAAUCUUCUAUAAAGUUAAAUGAAAAUUGCAAGUUUAUAUAAUGAUAAAAGUCUACUUCAUCAGAUAUUAACAUGACUUCUUUUAAAAAGAUGUUAUUUAUUUAUUUGAGAGAGAGAGAGCAUGAUGGGGGAGCAAAAAGGGAAGGAGAAGUAGACUCCUCACUGAACAGGCAGACCAAUGCAGGGCUCUAUCCCAGGAUCAUGGGAUCAUGACCAGGGCCAAAGGGAGAUGCUUAACCAACUGAGCCACCCAGGCAUUCCUUAACAUAGCUCUAAUGGCUUUUAUAUGCUUACUAUUUGCAUGGCAUAUCAUGUUCCACCUUUGUACUUUCAACCUUUGUGUAUCUUUAUAUUUAACAUACAUCCCAUGUAACUUGCAUGGAAUGGAAUCCUGAUUUUAUCUCACAUGAUCACCUCCGUCAUGAAAUUCAAUCGAAUUAUUAGUAUAUUUGGGUAUUAGACAAUAGUAUUUCUGUUUAUCCCACUUUUGUUUGAUAUUUUCCUUUCUGUGUUCUUCAGGUUUAAUAAAUUACUUUUUAGGAUUUCAUUUUUUUCUUCUCUAUUGGUUUUUUAGCUUUGCCUCAUUUGUGUGCGUGUGUGUGUGUGUGUGUGCGCGCGCAGUGGUACAUUUCUGGUUUGACUGGGUUAGACUACUCACCCUGACAGCAUUCAUUCAAGUGGUACUCAGAGAUUUAUAUUCUUUCUGUUGCAUGACAUUGCCAUUUUUAACAUUGGAUCAUACAGAGUAUUUUAUUGCCUGUUUUGGAGGUGGAAAAAUCACCCAUAUAUUCCAAAGCCCAGUCAUAUGUCACAAUAUAAAUUAAUAGGAAGUUAAGAAGGCCAAGUGAAAUGUAUUUAAUGUAGAGAAGAAAGAGAAAAUAUCCCAGGUGGAGGAAAGAGCAUGAACAAUGAGCAGGAGAUAAUAUGGUGUAAGUUGAGCAGAUGGGUUAUUUAAGACAGUGAUGAUAACUACAGUUGAGUUGAUAGAAUGUCCAGAUUACAAAAGUCUGGAAAUUCAGCCAGAAAUGCUGAGAUUUAGCUGUAUCUUUGGAAAUAUGUAUCUUACAUAGUGUACGGCUAUUCAAUAUCUCACCUAUAACAGGAUUAUCUACAUAUUCUGUCAAAUGUGAGUUGCCAUGUCUUCCAGUAGGUGGAAUAUAUUUCCUUGUCCCAUAUUUGGCCCGGGCGUGUGACUUUUUUUAGCCAACAUAGUCUGAGCAAUCAUGACAUAUGCUUCAUGCAGAAGUUCAAAUUUUAAUGUAUGGCUAAGUUAGCUCUCUUAAGCUUAUAACCUCUCUCAUGAGUAAAACAUGUCCCCAAGAGGCCCUGCAUCUUUAUUCUGGGUCCUAGAAUGAGAAGUCAUUAACAGAGCUGCAGCCAAUAUUCAAAUUACAUGCAAAAUAAAAAAAAAGAGAGAAAUAAGUACUAAUGUUUUAAGUAAAAGUCAACUGAUAUAUUUAGCACCAAAAUAUAGCUUCUAAUUUUGUUGUUGUUUUUGAGAGGAUAGAUGGCAGAACAAAAAAAGGAAUUAUGUAGUAUUUAGGACCUGCGUUUCAGAAAUAGAUAAAUGUGGAUAUAACCAUUCUGUUCUCAUCCUACCAUCAACCUACCAAGUAAAUCACAACCUUAGGUUUUAAAUAAAAUAGGAAAUAUAAUCCAUAUUCCAUAGCACUUCAGUGAAAUAUAUAGUAAAUACAUGCCCAGUGCUAAAAUUUAAAAUGUGUUUAAAUGUCAUCACUAAUAUAGAUACAUUAUUGAUGUGUACCAAACCAAAUACUUGAAUUCUGCUAUAUACACAGGCUUGAAGAAUGCAGUGUGGCCUGAUAGAAAGGUUCAGGUGUUGGUAUCCCAAAGACCGGUGUUCAUAAUUCUAGCUUUGCCAACUUAUUAAAUGUGAUGUUCUUUUGCAAAUCACAUAAACCUUAGUCUCCUUGCCUCCAAAUUGUAGGCAAAUCAUACUGAUUUCACAUAAUGAUAAGACAUAAAUGUGAUCUUAUGUGCAAGAACCUAUUUAAUUCUGGACCUGGAAUAAAAUGGAUCCUGCAAAGUACAUGUGCCUUACGAAGAAACUUGCAGAGGAAUGAAAUACAGAAAUCGAAACACCUGAUGAGAGUCAUUUAAUCACCUUGGGAUGCAGAGAUUUCAACUGGAAAAUUGGGAUGCUACUUCAAAAGCAUUUUAUGUGUUGACUAAUUUACAAUCAGGAGGCACUUUAAAACACCAAGCAUCCAGCUUCAUAAUAGCAUAUUAAUAGCGAUAAAAACUAGCAUGCCAUGCAAAUUCUAAAUCUAAAACACGUUCUAUAUAAACUCCCUUGGCAGAUUCAUUUGGCUCUAAUAAAACCACUCAUUUUCUAUCAUAAGAUGCAGUUUGGUGUUACUCUGGGUUAUCACAUAGCUAUUUUAUUCUACUCCAGGGAAGAAUACUUGAGUUGGAUGAAAUGGUCCCUCUGUGAGGUUACUAUAUAUUCUUUAGUUAAACUGGUUGACAUGGAGAAGCUUAAUUAGCAAUUGUAAAGAAUUUCCAACAUCUUCAGAUAGAUUUCCAGGAAUAUUAACUUGCAUUAUGAUUUUUGAACUCCAAAUACUUAUUUAUUAAGAAUAUAUAGACUUCCUUUAAAAAAAAUCUGUUUUAGUCACCUAAGAAUGUGUACUCCUUAAGAAAAAAUGUGUUAAUAAGAUCUUUAUGCUUUAUUAUUUGAAUGCAUGCAUGUUUUCUAACAGAAAUGAGACGAACAUGUUAAAUAAACAGAAGUAGAAGAGAUUAUUUGAGAAUGAACACGUGUGUGAAAUAAUGAGCACCCAAUUGUAAACAAAUCUUCAAAAUUUGGGAGUGACAUCUUUGUAGACACACAGAUCAGGGGUAUGGGAAGGAAGAGGCAACAAUGACAAAAACAAAAAUUGCAUAUGAAAGAGAAAACUCUCAAUGUGGGAUAUGACUACACACACAAAAUGAAACGUGUUUAUAUGUCAAUAUAAAAAAAUUAGAAAAAAAGGAGUUUUACAUUUCUCUGUAGAGAUAAAACUGUUCAAAGAAAAUGGAAACAAAGCUAUAAGGUAUGAUUCCAUUUCGGUAAAAAUAAAACAAAUCCUUGAAUCUUCUUUAUAUGAGUAUAUGUGCUUGCAUAUGUCUGUAUGAGUGAAGGAAAAUAACGUACUAUCCCGUUAAAAUUGGCUUGGAGAUCUGUGUGGUUGAGUGAGGAUUGAAGGCAAAUAAGGGGGAUUGAGCUUUGUCUUUUUCAUCUUUUGUUGUGUUAGCUUUAUUUGUUA
RNAcentral lists this long non-coding RNA (3445 nucleotides) under Canis lupus familiaris (dog). RNAcentral's name for it is "lncRNA (ENSCAFG00000057239.1, ENSCAFG00845012488.1)". The record is from RNAcentral. Lineage: Eukaryota; Metazoa; Chordata; Mammalia; Carnivora; Canidae.